ACGGGUUAGUAACGCGUGGGAACGUGCCCUUCUCUGCGGAAUAGCCACUGGAAACGGUGAGUAAUACCGCAUACGCCCUUCGGGGGAAAGAUUUAUCGGAGAAGGAUCGGCCCGCGUUAGAUUAGAUAGUUGGUGGGGUAAUGGCCUACCAAGUCUACGAUCUAUAGCUGGUUUUAGAGGAUGAUCAGCAACACUGGGACUGAGACACGGCCCAGACUCCUACGGGAGGCAGCAGUGGGGAAUCUUAGACAAUGGGCGCAAGCCUGAUCUAGCCAUGCCGCGUGUGUGAUGAAGGUCUUAGGAUCGUAAAGCACUUUCGCCAGGGAUGAUAAUGACAGUACCUGGUAAAGAAACCCCGGCUAACUCCGUGCCAGCAGCCGCGGUAAUACGGAGGGGGUUAGCGUUGUUCGGAAUUACUGGGCGUAAAGCGCGCGUAGGCGGAUUGGAAAGUUGGGGGUGAAAUCCCGGGGCUCAACCCCGGAACUGCCUCCAAAACUAUCAGUCUAGAGUUCGAGAGAGGUGAGUGGAAUUCCAAGUGUAGAGGUGAAAUUCGUAUA
RNAcentral lists this ribosomal RNA (557 nucleotides) under uncultured Alphaproteobacteria bacterium. RNAcentral describes it as "bacterial SSU rRNA". It matches the Rfam family "Bacterial small subunit ribosomal RNA", at positions 102 to 694 of the family's 1533-position model. The record is from RNAcentral. Lineage: Bacteria; Pseudomonadati; Pseudomonadota; Alphaproteobacteria.